Molecule: long non-coding RNA, 1636 nt
Filed under: Equus caballus (horse)
Lineage: Eukaryota; Metazoa; Chordata; Mammalia; Perissodactyla; Equidae
Description: lncRNA (ENSECAG00000054578.1)
Source: RNAcentral
GUUUGUGCCAUUUUUUUAACCUAGCACAAUAAAUACUGCCAGAUUUGCAUACAUGGGUAUCUCGAACAAUGACUUACAGUAGGCAGAGCCCAACCCCUGCCUAAUUCUGUGAGUUUCAUCACCUUAUGGUCCACAGGGCAGAGAGGCCUGAACAAAAGCAUCCACUGGUAUCACGUUUUGUGUAUGCCCUUCCAGUUUUCUUCAUGCACAUCUAUUUAUACAUAGAUGGCACUGUUACCUAUAAAGUAAAAAACUGGAAGCAAACUAAUUGUCCAAAAUUAGGGAAAAUUUUCACCUACACUGUAUUAUAGCUGAUUGCUAGAAUAUUUUGCUGCUAUGCCAGUGAUCCUUAGAAUAUUAUGUAGCAAUGUGGGGAAAGAAUUCAAAUGUACAUGUAAGUGAAAAGGUCAGGACACAAAAUUAUUUGUGUGCUUUGAUACAACCUAUGUAAAAAUAAAUGCACACGGCGGGGGGACUAGAAGGACAUAUGCAGACCUGAUUAAGGAGUUGCUAUUUGAGGAUAGUAUGAUUAUGGAUCAUUUCCUUAUUUUUCAAAAUUUUCAUAAUGUUGCUACAUUAUUUUUACAGAAAAUUAAGCAUAUUAUACAUACAUACAUACAUACGUGCCUCUUCUAAGGCAGUUUAGGACUUUGCUGGGCCUUGAAUUUUAAGAUUAUCAGUUCGAAUUAGAAGUAAUAAAAGCUCUUACUUAAACUAGUUUAACCUAAGCGAAUUGAUUGAGAUCUAUCAUUGGAAAGUUCAGAGGCUGGACCACCUUCAGGGCGAGCUAUUCCAGAGAUUCAUGGGGUCCUGAGUGCUGGGGCUCCAUUUCUCUCGACUUUGCCUUGCUGCACGUAUCAACCUUCUGGUCACACUUCUUACCUUGUGGCAGAAAAAUGGCUGCAGCAGCUCCCUCGGAGCGAAAGAGCAAGGUCAACUCCUCCCCCAACCAUCAAACAACCGUCUUUGCUUCACUCUGAUUGGACCAACAUGGACCAAUCACUGAGCCCAGCAGACUGCUGCCCUGGCUACGGGUUAAAUCACGCCGUGCGAACACCAGUCUGUGGUAGGCUGGUUACUGUUCGCGAGUGUUUGUUGCCCCUCCUUGGGCGAGGAUUUUUCUUCCCCACCUCACUGACUUCAGCAUAGGAGAGCUACACAAACAUGACCAUGACUAAUGAGUGAAGAAUCCCAUGGCGUUAGUUGGAUUUUUCACGUAACGAGUAAUUUGCAUGCCUCCGUGACUCUCAGCUGCAAACACUCAUUUCUCAGUCAUGGAUCUGUGCCCUGGCUGAGCUGACUCCGCUUCAAGUUCAGGUCCGGUCUGCAUGUCUCUCACUCUGCAUCCGGUGGUUACUCAGACAGAUGGCUGCUACCUCAUGGCACAUCACAGACACUCAAGAACCCGGGUCAAACUCUGCAAGAACAUUUAAAGCCUCACUCAUGUCACACCUGCUAAUAUUCCGUUGGCCAAAACAUAUGACCGAGCCUGAAGACACCGGGGCAGGGGUGCAUACUGUGUCUGCUUUCCUGGGAAACACUGCAAUGUCACAUGCACAUUAUUCUAAGGUUAUUGGGUGUAUAAUCAUAUUACACAAGCAGCAGAGAAGAUUUGAGAACAAUAAUGCAAUCUACC